CACCGCGGUUAUACGAGAGGCCCAAGUUGAUAGACAUCGGCGUAAAGCGUGGUUAAGAUGAAAUACAAUACUAAAGCCGAACACCUUCAGAGCUGUUAUACGCACCCGAAGAUAAGAAGUUCAACCACGAAAGUGGCUUUAUAACCCCUGAACCCACGAAAGCUAUGGUA
This 170-nucleotide ribosomal RNA is filed under the name Niphon spinosus. Its description in RNAcentral is "partial 12S rRNA". Lineage: Eukaryota; Metazoa; Chordata; Actinopteri; Perciformes; Niphonidae. The record is from RNAcentral.